Non-coding RNA from Hymenopellis radicata, 75 nucleotides. NCBI's taxonomy places the organism in Eukaryota, Fungi, Basidiomycota, Agaricomycetes, Agaricales, Physalacriaceae. The record is from the annotation of a GenBank genome assembly.
GCCUACUUGGCUCAGUUGGUUUGAGCAUCACGAUCGCAAGUCGUGACGAUGUGGGUUCAACUCCCACAGUAGGCA